GAUGAACGCUAGCGGCAGGCUUAAUACAUGCAAGUCGAGGGGCAGCAGGGUGUAGCAAUACACUGCUGGCGACCGGCAAACGGGUGCGGAACACGUACGCAACCUUCCUUCAAGUGGGGAAUAGCCCAGGGAAACUUGGAUUAAUACCUCGUAACAUUGUGAGAUGGCAUCAUUUUACAAUUAUAGUUCCGACGCUUGAAGACGGGCGUGCGCCUGAUUAGGUAGUUGGC
RNAcentral lists this ribosomal RNA (230 nucleotides) under uncultured bacterium. Its description in RNAcentral is "partial 16S ribosomal RNA". It matches the Rfam family "Bacterial small subunit ribosomal RNA", at positions 28 to 253 of the family's 1533-position model. The record is from RNAcentral.